GAUGAACGCUGGCGGCGUGCCUAAUACAUGCAAGUCGAGCGAAUUGACAGAGGUGCUUGCACCUCUCGAUUUUAGCGGCGGACGGGUGAGUAACACGUGGGUAACCUACCUAUAAGACUGGGAUAACUUCGGGAAACCGGAGCUAAUACCGGAUAAUAUUUAGCUUCGCAUGAAGCAAUAGUGAAAGACGGUUCUGCUGUCACUUAUAGAUGGACCUGCGGUGUAUUAGCUAGUUGGUGAGGUAACGGCUCACCAAGGCAACGAUACAUAGCCGACCUGAGAGGGUGAUCGGCCACACUGGGACUGAGACACGGCCCAGACUCCUACGGGAGGCAGCAGUAGGGAAUCUUCCGCAAUGGACGAAAGUCUGACGGAGCAACGCCGCGUGAGUGAAGAAGGUUUUCGGAUCGUAAAACUCUGCUGUAAGGGAAGAACAAGUACGUUAGUAACUGAACGUACCUUGACGGUACCUUACCAGAAAGCCACGGCUAACUACGUGCCAGCAGCCGCCGUAA
Molecule: ribosomal RNA, 515 nt
Filed under: uncultured bacterium
Lineage: Bacteria
Description: partial 16S ribosomal RNA
Rfam family: Bacterial small subunit ribosomal RNA
Source: RNAcentral